RNAcentral lists this ribosomal RNA (303 nucleotides) under Hepatozoon banethi. RNAcentral's name for it is "SSU rRNA". It matches the Rfam family "Eukaryotic small subunit ribosomal RNA", at positions 1354 to 1678 of the family's 1831-position model. Lineage: Eukaryota; Apicomplexa; Hepatozoidae. The record is from RNAcentral.
AAUAGGGUUAAAAACAUUUGUUUUUAAAUUACUUCUUAGAAGGACUUUGCGUGUCUAACGCAAGGAAGUUUGAGGCAAUAACAGGUCUGUGAUGCCCUUAGAUGUUCUGGGCUGCACGCGCGCUACAAUGAUGCAUCCAACAAGUUUAUAACCUUGGCUGGUAAGCUUAGGUAAUCUUUUGAAUGUGCAUCGUGAUGGGGAUAGAUUAUUGUAAUUAUUAAUCUUUAACGAGGAAUGCCUAGUAAGCGCAAGUCAUCAGCUUGCGCUGAUUACGUCCCUGCCCUUUGUACACACCGCCCGUCG